GGGAUCCAGGGUCCCAGAAGGAGUGUUUGACAAACUUUAAACAGAAAUGGGUUUGAUCCCAGAGUUGCCUUUUUCUGAGAUGGCCCAGGAGUGGUUUUGCUCAAUCAUCUGUGCCUCUGACCAGCUGGACUGUUAACUUGAAUGUGGACUUGUGUUUCUUCUUCGUAUUGACUCUAGGAAGCCGCAUUCCAUUCCAUUCACCCUCGGGAAGUGCAGGAGACCUGCUGCCUAAAUUCUGAGGGCUACCCUCCCAUCUGGUUCCACAUUUUUUUUUUCCCUGCCUUAAUUUUGGUGUCUCCCAGAUUUCUUCACUGAUAAAUACAGUUCAACACCAUUGUAAAUCACCUCUAAUCUUUUUCUAAAGAGGCAGAGCAGUGGGGAAAAAAGGAUGAAUAAAUAAUAAGUUGUUCAUCUGGAAAGAAGAAAACACACUAGAUACCUUUAAUUCCUUCUCAUUA
RNAcentral lists this long non-coding RNA (458 nucleotides) under Bos taurus (domestic cattle). Its description in RNAcentral is "long non-coding RNA NONBTAT019575". The record is from RNAcentral. Lineage: Eukaryota; Metazoa; Chordata; Mammalia; Artiodactyla; Bovidae.